UCUCACAGCUCCACUCAGCUGUCCUGCGUUCCACACAUCGGACCCCUCACACGCCCUCAGGACGAUGACAGCAGAGGCUGUGGGUGACAGCCUGUGCACGCCCUCCAGGGUGGUGUCUUUGUGGGCCGAAGGCAGCGGCCACACAUCCAUUCUGUGAACCGAGUUUCUGUCCGUGUCCAGAGCUCGGUGCAGCCGGAGGACAUGUGGUAACUCUGUGUGCAGGGCACAAGUGGUUAAGGGGGAAGUCACGCCAGUCAUCACCAAUGAACCCCUGUGCCGAGCUGUCAGCGGAGGUCACGGUGUGUGCGGAGCGUCUGGACUCGGUCCCGGAUGCUCAGUCUCUCUCAUCUCCUGUAAGCUGCGUAAACACCUGAGGCAGUGGGGUGAGGAAAAAUUCAGAAUCUGGCAAUGGUUUCUUGGCUGUUCCUCAGGACACGCAUUCAACACAGACCGGUGGGCUCCGCUCCAGCCACUGAGUCCGUCCCCGGAGAGGCUCCCAGGCGUGUCUGGUUCCAGAGAGCAUCCCAGAAAUAAAUUAAAAAGAAGAAGAAGAAGAAAACCUUUGUUGCAAAGAGGAUUGGGCUGAAAAGAACAGUCGCAUCCUAGGGGGAGAUCAGCAAAGCCCAGGAGAUUCACAUCCCCGACCAGCCGCUUACUGCUGCCGGGUCCUGAACAACUCACUUCCUGCCCUGAGGCCUGGGUCUCCUCGAUGGUGCCCACAUGGCAGGAAUGCGGUAAACACCACAGGCAGGUGCACGUGUGAUGGACGGUGCUCAGCUCAGCCCGACACCCUGUGCCAGAGCGACCAUUUCCCGACGGCUGUGUAAGAGACUGUCUCCCAGAACGGCGGUGGCUCCUGGAGGCCGCGGAUGGAAGGCAGGUCAUACGCUGAAGUUCACAGGACUCACUUACAAAAAUCAUGACAACGGGCUUCCUGCUUGGAUUCCUGCUGCUCUGCAGUGUGUGUCCUACACAGGAGUGAGCGGGCACUGCUUUGUUCAGCACACUCGGGGCCCCUGAGUCACGGUUCAAAGUCACAGUCCUUAUGAAGCCCUGUCUGCUCAGAAGUGUGAACCCGACACAGACAGCUCUCCCUAUCUUGCCGAUGCCACCAAAAUGCCCAAAAUAGAGCAUCCUGAUAGAGGGUGGUCAGUCCUUCGCUGUUGGACAGAAAGGCUGUGCUCAUGGCAGUGACUCCAAUCCCCGGGCUUCCAGAAGGGGCAGGAUCUAGAAUUCCGUCGGGUGUUAUGUUGGAUGGAAAAACAUGUCCAAAGGACCUCUUUGCACAAGCAAGUAAAUGUUUUAGCUCAGAAGAGCCACGUGACACCUCUACUCAGAAUUUGCUGUCCAGAACUAGUGAUCUGACCUCAAAACACUGGAAAUGGGCUAGAAAGUGUAACGCUUCCAUGUGUCCAGCAGGAAAAACCUGGAAACAGGUGGUGAAGUGUAUAAAUCAUGAACUCCUGAGGAAAGAGCGAAUCCAUCUGUAUUUCUUCCCCGAUAGCCUGCGGUCUUCUCCAAGGCGUUGUUUGAUAAUCCAUUGUUUUACCUCCAGCUUGUGACAUCACCUCUGUCACACCAAAGGACACGUUUCUAAACUCGUAUUUAGUUCCCUUAACUUCCUUCUAUCUCUGCUUCUGUAUCCAUUCUGUGGCCGGUGCCACAGGUGGUUUUGUCACAUGUCUGGGAGGACUCUGUCUUCGCUUCUAUUCCUUUGUAAAAACUUCAAAAUCAGUUUUUCAAGUUUCCUAAAUAAUCCCAUUGGGAUUUAAUUGAAGUUUCAUUACAUUUAUAAAUUAAUUUGGGGAGAAUUGGUCAUCUUUAGAGUAUUAGGUCAUCAGCUUUUCUUUUUUGUCUUGUUUUAGCGUUUCUUGUUUUAUCUUUAAUAGGGUCUGAAAAUUUUAUUUAUCGAGGUCUUGUUCUGUUUUUGUUUGAUUACUUACCAGAUAGAUUUAUAGAUUUUGCUGUAGAAUUUUAUUUUCUAUAUUUUAUCUACUUGCUUAUUGUGAAUGUAUAGGAACAUAUGUGAUUUUGAUAUGCUGAUGUUAUAUUUGGGAGCAUUGAAACGUCUGUCCUGAGGACGUUUCAUUCUUUUGGGCUUUUCUCUGUGAGUGAUCAAAGUAUCUGUCAAUAAUGGUAAUUUGGACUCUUCCCUUUUGAUCCUUAUACCUCAUGUUAUUUUUAUUUUAUUUUUUCUGUUGUUCUUUUUCUUGUCCUAAUUUUCAGCCAGGUCUCCAAGACUAUAUGGAACAAGUAUCAGUGAUGCAGACGGCCCUGUCUUAUUUGCAUUUAUUUAAUAGGACAGUGUCUGAAGUUUCUCCAUAUUUGCUGUGUGUGACAGUAGAAUAUAAGCGGUUUUAUCUAAAAAAGUCUAUAUAAGACUGGAACCAUCUGUUCCUUGAAAUGAAUCUUUUCACUAAAACAUCCAUAAAACUACCUGGGCCAGUGUUUGUGGGAAGAUGUGUAAAUCACUGUUUUUGUUUUAAUAGUUGUCUAAUGAUUAAGACUUCCUUUCUUUGUUUCUUUUUUAUUUACAUAUUUUUGAGAUACUGACAAACAGUGAAGUGUGCAAAUCUUAAGUGCAUAAUUUAGUGAAUUUUACAAAAGUACCUGCCCAUAUAACCCAUCCCUCAUGAAGAGCUAAAACAUUUCCAUCACCCUAGAAAGUUCUCUAUGCCCUUUCUCACCCUGUCCUAAUCCUUCCCCAGAGCAAACCACUGUUAUUAUUUCUGUCCCUACAGAUACCUCUUCCUAAAAAUAAAGCUCAUAUAAAUGGAACCAAGAGUAGGUAGUCUUUUGCCUGGACUAAUGGUUUUCAUUCACACUCCUCUUUCUGUGAUAUUGUACUGUGUGAAUAUAUUGUUUCCAGAUUUGGAAACAUGCAUAAAGCUGCUAUAAGCCUUCCUAAACAA
Suricata suricatta (meerkat) is the source of this 2912-nucleotide long non-coding RNA. RefSeq lists it as uncharacterized. NCBI's taxonomy places the organism in Eukaryota, Metazoa, Chordata, Mammalia, Carnivora, Herpestidae. The record is from RefSeq and is a predicted model, not a curated record. The transcript has 8 exons.